Molecule: ribosomal RNA, 506 nt
Filed under: uncultured bacterium
Lineage: Bacteria
Description: bacterial SSU rRNA
Rfam family: Bacterial small subunit ribosomal RNA
Source: RNAcentral
UCUGACGCAGCCAUGCCGCGUGCAGGAAGAAGGCGCUAAGCGUUGUAAACUGCUUUUGAUCGGAAAGAAACCCCGGGACGUGUCCCGGGUUGACGGUACCGGUCGAAUAAGCACCGGCUAACUUCGUGCCAGCAGCCGCGGUAAUACGAAGGGUGCAAGCGUUAUCCGGAUUCAUUGGGUUUAAAGGGUGCGUAGGCGGAACGAUAAGUCGGCGGUGAAAGCCCGUAGCUUAACUACGGAAUUGCCGUUGAUACUGUCGUUCUUGAGUGCGCUUGACGUGGGCGGAAUGUGCCGUGUAGCGGUGAAAUGCUUAGAUAUGGCACAGAACACCGAUAGUGAAGACAGCUCACGAAGGCGAAACUGACGCUGAGGCACGAAAGCGUGGGGAUCAAACAGGAUUAGAUACCCUGGUAGUCCACGCCGUAAACGAUGAUCACUCGUGGUNGGCGAUAUACGGUCAGUCACCUAGCGAAAGCGUUAAGUGAUCCACCUGGGGAGUACGUUCG